CAAGUCGAGCGGCAGCGCGGGGGCAACCCUGGCGGCGAGCGGCGAACGGGUGAGGAAUGCAUCGGAACGUACCCGAGAGUGGGGGAUAACGCCGCGAAAGCGGCGCUAAUACCGCAUAUUCUCUGUGGAGGAAAGUGGGGGACCGCAAGGCCUCACGCUCACGGAGCGGCCGAUGUCGGAUUAGCUAGUUGGUGGGGUAAAGGCUUACCAAGGCGACGAUCCGUAGCUGGUCUGAGAGGAUGAUCAGCCACACUGGGACUGAGACACGGCCCAGACUCCUACGGGAGGCAGCAGUGGGGAAUUUUGGACAAUGGGGGCAACCCUGAUCCAGCCAUGCCGCGUGCGGGAAGAAGGCCUUCGGGUUGUAAACCGCUUUUAGCCGGGAAGAAAAGGCAGAUCCUAAUAAGGUCUGUUCUUGACGGUACCGGCGGAAUAAGCACCGGCUAACUACGUGCCAGCAGCCGCGGUAAUACGUAGGGUGCGAGCGUUAAUCGGAAUUACUGGGCGUAAAGCGUGCGCAGGCGGUUCGUUAAGUUCGAUGUGAAAGCCCCGGGCUCAACCUGGGAACUGCAUUGGAAACUGGCGAGCUUGAAUGCGGCAGAGGGGGGUGGAAUUCCGCGUGUAGCAGUGAAAUGCGUAGAGAUGCGGAGGAACACCGAUGGCGAAGGCAGCCCCCUGGG
This 680-nucleotide ribosomal RNA is filed under the name uncultured beta proteobacterium. RNAcentral describes it as "bacterial SSU rRNA". It matches the Rfam family "Bacterial small subunit ribosomal RNA", at positions 58 to 733 of the family's 1533-position model. Lineage: Bacteria; Pseudomonadati; Pseudomonadota; Betaproteobacteria. The record is from RNAcentral.